Molecule: long non-coding RNA, 1099 nt
Organism: Pipistrellus kuhlii (Kuhl's pipistrelle)
Lineage: Eukaryota; Metazoa; Chordata; Mammalia; Chiroptera; Vespertilionidae
Exons: 2
Source: RefSeq, a predicted model, not a curated record
AACUCAGAACUCAGACACGUACACGGACGGACCGAUGUACCUCACAACAUGAUGAGGCACAAUCGUGGAAACAGGCAGGUCCAGAAAAUGAAGAAUGCUCACGAGUGGAGACAAACAGCUUCAGAUCAAGUAACCCAUUUUAAUCAAGUUGGUAAUAAAAUAAAGAUCAGUAUCUGCCCAGGGAUUAACUUUUGCCAAGUACAUUCUAGCUUCAAAGCAGCAGGCGGCUUCACUGAGGAGCCAAUGGUGGCCAGUGAUGAUUGGCAGGCGGAGGGGCCACACUCAGAGUUGAGCUGAGUUGGAGGGGGAGAGAAACACACCAAAUAUUUCUAUGAGAACGAGCCCAGUGGCCGCGACUCGAUAACUGACAGCACUGCGCAUAACUGAUCUGCCUGUGUGUCUUCCCUGUCCACCCAGAUGGCAACCUCUAGUGGGAGGGCCUUAUUGCAUCUUAGUGAGGCACACAGUGUUUACAGAACAAAUGGCUCCAAUACAUACUUUUAAUUCAGCGCUUAUAGAAGUGUUAACUGAUGCUGAAGUGCCCCCUUGUGGAGGAUGAAGGUAUAGCUAUAUUACGCAUUUCCUGCUCAUUUCUAAGACGAGGGUGUCUGGGCUAUCACUGCACCACUAAAGUUGUUUGUAUGUUAGCAGGGAAAGGCUGGUUGACCGUCAGUGGUGACAUCAAGUCUCCUUUUCACUGCAUCCUCGUCAUACAAGCAAAGCCCUCACACUUAAGUAGUGGCAAAUACCAAUAUGGUGCCAGUUCUUGGCUACUUUGUCAGGAGAUUCAUACACAAAGGACACGUUGAGCGAUGAAAAUCAAUCGGACUUUCAGGCGCCCUCCCUCUGGAACUGAGGCUGCGAGAUCAUACAGGGACACCACCUGUAUCCCUGUCUCACCUUCCACAGGACACCUUUCUGUCUUACUCAGCUUGGCAGAUUCCUGAGAGAGCAAGGCCUGUCGGAUUCAGCCAGGCACACUCUGCAUAGGACUUCCGGGCCUUUUUAUUCACAGUCCUACCUCUAUCCCAAGAUCGUGACAAAGUGAUCCUGCACCUGUCAUCCUUCUGCACCCUGUUCUAAAAGAGAGGACACCAAG